GAGAGAGCAGCCAGUUUCCGGGUCGACCACUUUGAGCUCAGCAUUACGAACCACAUUGCCACACGAGCCCAAUUUCGUGGGUAAUGGCUGCUUUGCGAAAGAAGGUGACAUAGAUAAUACAGAACCCGCCUCGGUCAUGCCAUAACCCUACAUACAACAAUUACAAACACCAUUUUCAAAAGGGCAAAUGGCAAAAAGGCCCAUCACAUGGGACUUAAAUGCAUUUUGGUCCACAAAAAAAACAGUCUAUCAAUUAAGCCCAUCCCCAUGUCUUUAGUCUAAAAUACCCUCAAUAAUAUAAUUCUUAUCAAUUCCACCCAAUAUGAUCUAACUUCCUUAAUAUUACACAUUGACCCCGGAUUUAAACAAAUAUAUCACAUUAACCCCCAAAACUUUUUUUUUUCAGAAAAUAAUUUUUUUUCUGAAAUGUUUUUUUUCCGGCCAGAUUCCGGCGUUGACCGCCGGAGACCGCCGGUCUCCGGUCUUGACUUUUUUUUUUUUUUUUUGAAAUUUUUUUUCCGGCCGGUCAACCACCGUUGACCGGCGGUCUCCGGCGUUGACUUUUUNNNNNNNNNNNNNNNNNNNNNNNNNNNNNNNNNNNNNNNNNNNNNNNNNNNNNNNNNNNNNNNNNNNNNNNNNNNNNNNNNNNNNNNNNNNNNNNNNNNNNNNNNNNNNNNNNNNNNNNNNNNNNNNNNNNNNNNNNNNNNNNNNNNNNNNNNNNNNNNNNNNNNNNNNNNNNNNNNNNNNNNNNNNNNNNNNNNNNNNNNNNNNNNNNNNNNNNNNNNNNNNNNNNNNNNNNNNNNNNNNNNNUAUUAAUUAAAAUAAAUUUUUUUAAGGAAAAAAAAAAAAGUCAAUUAACAGUUAAAUUACUGUCUCCGACAGUUAAAUAACUGCUGGAGACAGUACUUUAGCAACGAAUAAAGUACUAUUAAUUAAAAAUAUUUUUUUUAAGAAUAAAAAAGUCAAUUAACAGUUAAAUUACUGUCUCCGACAGUUAAAUAACUGCUGGAGACAGUAAUUUAGCAACGAAUACAGUAAUAUUAAUUAAAAAUAUUUUUUUUAAGAAUAAAAAAGUCAAUUAACAAUUAAAUUACUGUCUCCGACAGUUAAAUAACUGCUGGAGACAGUAAUUUAGCAACGAAUACAGUAAUAUUAAUUAAAAAUAUUUUUUUUAAGAAUAAAAAAGUCAAUUAACAGUUAAAUUACUGUCUCCGAUAGUUAAAUAACUGCUGGAGACAGUACUUUAGCAACGAAUACAGUAAUAUUAAUUAAAAUAUUUUUGAAAAAAAAAAAACUGUCAAUUACUAGNNNNNNNNNNNNNNNNNNNNNNNNNNNNNNNNNNNNNNNNNNNNNNNNNNNNNNNNNNNNNNNNNNNNNNNNNNNNNNNNNNNNNNNNNNNNNNNNNNNNAAAAAAGGAGAAAGAGUUUUUCCAGACGGCAGGUCAGCGAGCCGAGAAGUACCUUCUAGCUUACCACCAUCUGCACAUUUAAAUUGAAAGGUGUUAAUAAUUUAAUGGUUGACCAUAAACUCGAGGCGGGCAUUUGAGACGUUUUAUAAUUCAGGGGACAAACCAGUACAAUCUUUAUAGUUUAGGGGUAUAAAUUGUACUUUGCCCUUAAUUGUAUGCAAUUCGUUAAUUAUCUAUUUUGGUGAGAAUAAGAGAUGGAAGUGGGAUUUAAACUUAUUUCCGCAUAGUUUGGAUGAGAUAAAUUACAAACAAAAAGAUAAUUAUAGUCGUUAAACGCAAAAGUAUCUAAAUAAGUCUUGAGUUUUGAAAACAAAUUAGUCCAAUGUGACAUGAGUUGCAAUAAUUUGAUUUCAUGAAAAUAUUUAUAAUCAAAGUCUAGUGCAUGGUGAUGCGAAUUACUUAAUUGUUAAAUUAAGUCUAAAAAUAGUGAUACAGUAAAAUUUCAAUAAUUUAAUAAUCUCGAUUAUAAUUUCUUUCGAUCCCAACUUAAUAAAAAUAGACUAAAUUUCUAGUUUAAUAAUUUAAUAUUCACUCAAUUAAUAAACUUUUAUUCGACAACAUUAAUUUAUGUGAAAUGCUUUUUGGGGUUAGAACUUAUCUAUUUGCAUUUCAUACCCUAAAAAACACUUCUCUUAACAAACCUCUCCCAUCUACCCCGAAAAAUCGAAACAUUUAAAAAAAAAAUCAAAAAAUUCGAAUUCAAGCAAAAACUAGCCAUUUCAUCGAAAUUUUGAGGUAUUUUCAACUCCUAAACGUUUUUAUUGCAUUGGGUAGGAAAUUUCAGUUGUAAUUUCAUCUUAAACAACCCUAUAAAUCAAACCCAACACAUGCAAAAGUGCAUUGUUGCGGAUUGUGGCAGUGUUUGGUAUUUCAAGAAUAACUUUCAAAUACGACCUCCAAUUGAGCUGAUUCAAGUGGACUUAGAUAUCUAAUUUCAAAAUCUGCAACUUUCGUGAAAUGCAAAAUUGUCAAAUUUGGGCUAAAAAGUGGUGAAAACAGUGUUUGAAGUAGACGCAGAAGCCCAGAUUGCGAUCCAGCCUUCCUGUAUCGCGAUCUGGGGGUCUUACAAAAGGCAUUUUUUAUCAGGACCCAGAUCGCGAGCCAACCUUCUUGUAUCGCGAUCUGGGGGUCUCACACAAGGUUUUUUGAUCAAGAACCAGAUCGCAAUCCACUAUUCCCGUAUCGCGAUCUGGAAAGGCGGUACGCAGUUUCCAAGGCUGCCAUAUCGCGAUCCAAGAAGCCCAGACCAUAUAUUUUUCUUUGUUUUCUUACUAUAAAUAGAAGGUCUGCUUUUUCAUUUUUAAAGCUCUCGACCUCUUCUUCGAUUUUUCGUCGGUUUUCGCCAGUUCUUCACGGGAAGCUUCGACUCGGGUUUUUUCAUAAGCUUUUCUUUACGUUUAGUUUUUGAUUUCUCGUGUUAUUCAUUUUGAUGCUAUGUUUCUAAUGAAGUGAGCAUUUUUUUAGGGAAAUGAAACCUUGUAUAUAUUGAUAUUGAUUUACAGUUCUCUGAUCUAUUUGUUGUUCUUUGAUUCUGUUUAUGUUUUCCUGUAUUAAAUGCUUUCGAUUGUUUGGCCAACAGUUGAAUUGAUUGUAAAUGGGGAUGAACUCGAGAGAGGAUUUCUCGUUUGAUUUUAGGAAAACAUAGCUCGAGUUGUAGAAACGGAGACGUGAUGCACCUCGGGUAGCCCUUAAGGACUUGACCUAAAUGCUCUCUUAAUAUCAGGUUCUGAACGGAGACGUCGGACUUGUGGGUAGAAUCUAACUACACCGAAGACAGGGGUUAGGGUAUUUUAGUGUAUGAGUUAGCGAAUAUAGAAUUGAUAUUAGAUUCGGAUUUGUAGAUCUUUAUCAAUAGCACACCGGUGGAUUUUACCCUAGAAGCCAUAACACGCCGGAAUUCCUCGCUUGUCUUGGCGGACCGUUGUUUUUAUUUAUUGUUUCUUUUUAGUUUCAUUUAUCCCAUUCUUUCGUUUGUCUAAAAUUUCGGGAUAAAUAGAUUGCUCUAAAAACCUAUAAUCUUCUAUUGUAUAUUCCGGAUUAGUAAUUCUUCUACAAGAGUGGACUUGUACUUGAAGUAAUCUAAAUUUACAAUCGAGAAACUUAGAAAAAAAGAAGAAGAGACAAUUUCUUCUCUUGAACGUGAAUAGGCGUGUACUCAUCAUUGUCUCUCUCAUCAACAUAAUCUCUAUUAUAUAUAGCACAAGGAAUUAGAGUCACACAUUAAUUCUAAUAUAUAAUAUUGGUUGAACUUUAUCUUCUCGAUUAAUUAGAAAAUCCAUUGGGCUACAAUAGGGAUUAUAGGAGAAAAUAUAAAUCGGACAACUAAUAAUUAAUUAAAUCCAAACUCUUAAAAUAAUUUAUUUCAUUAAUCAUUAAAUAUUUAUUUAUUUUCCACUACCAAAUAGUUAUUGAACUCCCGUUUAUAUUCUCAAAUAUUACAUUCGAGCUCCGAUCGAUCAUUACUUAAAUUCUCCCCACAUUAAGAUAUUUUAUAACCAUCAAAUAAUUUAUCACUGCUAAAUAAAUUAAAUGGUGUAUUUUCAUGAGUCUUACCCGCUUAUAACUUAUUUGAGUAUGUCGGAUACGAAAUCCACCUGGCCAGGACUUGGCAUAAAUAAAUCUUAUAAGCUACUCAAGGGUUAUUAUCAAUCUCAUAUUUCAGAGAUGUGGAUUCCUUUCGAUAAUUAAUUUCCACAUAUUAAUUCUUAAUGUAUGUACCCAACGCACCGGAGACCAUUUGACUCAAUAUAGGAAUUUCUCCCACUAUGACAUCAAAGUAGAGAUCAUCAAUUAAAUAUGUAGGUUAAUUAUCUAGGGAUUAAGAGAUUAAGUAACUUAAUGUCAACUAGAAAUAAUACAGUUUCAUUUUGAACAGUGAUGAAAUAAUUAUUUCACUUUGUCCGGUUCAACACAUGUCGGGUGUGCUAGCAUAAUAAGUCAAAACAAUAACUAUAAAAGUUAUUCUCUUUUUACUGAGAUCAAGACCAAUCAUUUAAAUAUUGUGCUACAAUAUUUUACCAAUGGAUCGUCCAUUUCCAUCUAGAUUGUGAACGUUUAUCUUUGUAUUCUAAACGAACUUUCAAAAUUGAUAUUUAUGUGCGCCGUAGCACACUAUUUCGAAUACUAUUAGAAUAUUAGACUAAUGCUUUUAAUUAAUUGACAAACAAUCAAUUAAAUGCAUUGAAUACCCUAGUGAAAAUUCUCAUAAAAUGGUACGAAACUAUUUUAUUGAUUCAAUAAUAAAAAUGUAGCUAAAAGCGAGACUUUUAGUCUGCUAUCCUAACAUAUGUCACAGUCACAAACCACAUCCAACCAUCUUAUAUGAAGACAACGAGGUAUUUACAUAUUUUCGUAUGAAUGAUGAGGUUGAGCACCUUGAGGGAAUUAUCCAUCCCAGUUCUGUAGAUACUUUUGCGCGUGAUGAGAGUGGAUGAAGAUGAUGGUAGAGGAACUUUACGAACAAAAUCAUAUCCACAUUGCUACUCCGGAUUUGAGUGUGAGCCAGGACACAAGUUUGAAAUUUGAGGUAGAGCUUACUCCAAAGCUUGAAUAUCUUAUGUACAAGUUUGAGUGAUCGGUAGGCAAGCAACCCAUUCCAGUCUCCUACCGACUAAUUUCCAAAGCAAACGAGAAGUUCCAUGGGAUGGAAUGAGCACUAUAUGAUUGCAAUCUUUUCCAUGAUACGAUUGCAAAGUAUGUGUCAAGAUUGAUGGAUGGAUGCGCAAUUUACAAGGUUUUGGAUUGGACAUAAUCCGUCCAAAUUGUGUCGAGCCGUCGACGGUAAAACAUGCGUUGAAUGGGAGAUAACCCAUUAUUUAUUUCUCGUCAUUUUUUUCUUCUUUGUUUUUGUCAUUUUUUGCAUUUUGUUUUUUUGGUUUAAAGCUAAAUUUCACCAAUUUUUCUUGAUUUUUAUCGGUAUCUCGUCCGCAAGGAAAGAAGAGUAAGAAGUCGGGAAGUCUAGACAACUCCGGCAAUUCGCCCUCGGUGCCAAAAUCCACGGCACCCUGUGCAACCAAAGAGCACUUUCGCAACCGUAUAACACUGAUCAAUCUGCGGCACGACUGUUCAUGGCCUAUUUCUUUCUCAUAUCUUUUAUUUUUCGCAUUGAGGGCAAUUCAUAAAUUUAAGUUUGGGGUGUGUUUAGCUUAUUCUCUUUUUGGUCUUUUGCAUGCAUAUCAUAUAAUUUAGUUUCAUUUAUGUAUUUUGAUUUCCGUAUUGGUGUUAUGUUUGUCACAUGCAUUUAUAUAGGAUCGAGUGUAAGUUGCAUUUUCGGAUUCUAUUGAAGCAGAGCAGUUAAUGAAUUAGUAGACUUGCUAGUUGAUUUUAAAAUUAAGGUUGUGCAUAGUCGGCAAUUAAUAAAUGAACCUUCCGACUGCGUUUCUACAACUUGUUUUGAGAGCCUUUCGAAUAUUUUACGAUUAAGCAUGAGCACACUUUUCUGAAGGGUAUAAUAGUCUGAGGUUUGGGGGUGAGUAAGAAUUGAACUAUGGUUUAUGGGUGAAAAAAACAAAUAUUUAAAACAUUAUUCAAUACAGUAAACUGCAAAAUGUACCCUUGUGUAAUCUCUAAAUAGCAAAAACCCCCAUGUGAUAAAUAAACUAGCAAAAACCCCCAUGUGAAAUUUAGUCAAAGGCAAAACCCCACCGGUUGACUUGUGUGUGGCUCACUCGCGGGUUGCGCGACUGGGAGUUGGUUUUUGGACAUGAAAUAACGAAAUUGACCUUUAAAAUGUAUUUAUAUGUAUAUAUAUUAUAUGUAUAUAUUUUUCUUUUUAAUUUGGUUGUUUAGAAAUUAAAAUAUUGUUAAAAAAUAGUAAAUAAUUAAAUUGAAAUUUUUUUAUAAAUUUGUUAAUCAAAUUAAGUAUAUAUUUUUUUAAAUACAUAAUAAUGAAAUUUAAGUUUUCUUUUGAUGUAUUUAAAAUAUAUUAAAAAAUUAUGUGAUAAUAAAAAUAGAAAUAAAUUUAGAAACCCCAUUGUACCUUUAUAACUAAGAUUUAACAAAGAUAAAAUAAUUAAAAUAUUUAAAAAAUAUAAGAAUUUAUUAAUUGCAAAAUCCCAGGGAUAUUUGGGUCUUUUAUUUGAAGUCAACCCUCAAAUGAGUAAUGAGUCUGUGUGCUAUUUAAAUAAUUUCACAGGGGGUGUUUUUUCUAGUUUAUUUAUCAUAGGGAGAUUUUUGCUAUUUAGAAAUUACACAGGAAUACUUUUUAGAGUUUACUCUUAUUCAAUAUAGGGUAAAUUACACCCACACCCCUGAGGUAUGCUUAAAUAACUUUAAGAUUCAUGUGGUAUCGAUAAUUACACUCACCCCUUGAAACGUAGUUAUAAACACUAAUGGGAUAAUUCAUCGGAUACGUUAUAACAAUAGAGUUCUAACGGACUAUUGGUUUCAGAAACUGAUGGAGACACAAAGAGUUAUGGGUGAUUUAAGAAAUAUUGAUGGAGCUAUGUCACCCCAUAACUCCCCAUAACUCUAUAUUAUCUCCACCACUAGCUAAAAAUAAUAGUCCAUUAGAACCCUAUCGGAAUAAUGUAUUCAAUGCAUUUUCUAACUAUGUUUCAGAGGUGAGUGUAAUUAUUGAUACCAUAGGAACCUUAAAAUUAUUUAAGCAUACCCCAGAGGUGUGGGUGUAAUUUACCCCUCAAUAUAAAGAAUCUGAAAAGAUUAGGUCGGGUUAAUUUUUCAAAUUUUCUAUUCUUGGAGAACAAGCUAGCACUCUCGGUCUUACUUAACAAGCACCCAAUUCCUUUCCGUCAAAAUUCCGUCGAAAUUUCUUCUCAAUUCCGUCAAAAUUUGUUGAAAAAACCCUAUCAAAAUCGAAACAAUGAAUUUCCUAAGACAAAAUUCUGUGAACAAGCUGCGAAUCCUCGCCCAAAUCGGCAGCCGUGCGAUCACAACCGCUCCGCCGCCGCUUGUUUCUGCACAUCAGCCCGCUCACCCGGUUGCCAUCGCUAUCCGACUCACCGACCAGCCGGCCGACCCUAUCACUAGGUAUUACUUGUAUUUCCUUUAUUUUAUUUUUUUUGGGUUUCGGAAUUUGUUAUAGUGCAUUUAUUUUUAAUUUUUUUUACUUGAUUGAUUACUUUUUGUGUGCUAAUUUGUUGAUUAUUGAUGCUAAUUGCUAAAUGACUGAUAAGUGGUACUGUGUUCAUAUAACACUCUUGUGAGCAACUAAUUUUUGCUCUUUUUACCUUUUGAUUUGAUUUUUUGAUUUGGUUUUUGUGCGCGAAAGGAAAAUAAAAAAAUUGUUAAAGAUAGCUUUGAACGGCUAUCUUUAAUUUAAAAUUUUAUAUCGAUUAUGAUUCGUAGUAAUUUCAUUAACGAUAUGACUUUCUUGAAGGUAUGAUAUCUCGCCGCCGGUAAAUUGGGGAUAUCUGACUGUGUCAGAUAUGAACACUUGCAUUAUCGAGCGAUUUGGCAAGUACGCAAAGACAUUAACUAAAGGAGCCCAUUAUCUGAUUCCGUUUGUUGAUAGAAUUGCUUACGUGCAUUCUCUGAAAGAACAAGCACUUUGUUUUCCUUAUCAACAUGCUAUUACCAAGGACAAUGUCUUAAUUGUAUUUGAUGGAAUCAUGUAUGUCAAGGUAUGUGUCAAUUUUUCAUUUUAAAAUUUGCCUAAAUGAUUUUCUUUUUGAAUGACCCUAUUCGAAAUGUAUUAUUUAGUAUUAAUAUCUCAAAUACGCCUCGUGAAUUACAUUUGAAGUCUUGCACUUAAAAUAUUUGAAAUGAGUGGUGGUGGGAUUCGAACUCAACACCUUCUAUUUGGUCUGCCUCUCAUAUCAUGUUAAAUGAUACAUUUCACUAACAACAUAAGAUUAUGUUAAAAUGAUACAUUUCACUAACAACUUAAGAUUUUGAUUGAGAUGAUCAUUCAAAGUGGUAUUAGAGCCAGAUCAAAUGAAAGGUCCUAGGUUCAAAUGUGUCACCCAUUUCAAGUGCAAGACUUCAAAUGUAAUUAGUUGCACUUGAAGGGACGUAUUUGAGAUAUUAGUAUUGAAUGAUACAUUUCAAUAAAAGCUUAAGCUUUUGGCUGAGGUGGUCAUUUAACACCAUAGUAGUUAAACUCGCGAGAUACCGCGAUAUGUAUCGUCGGUCCCAAUCAAAACGAUACAACUCAUGGUCUGUAUCGUUUGUGCAUAAAUAUCGCGAGAUAUCGUAUCGUAUCGCCAUAUCCGAUAUUUACGAUAUUAAUCAAAAUAUUAGGAAAAAAAAAUAAAAAGUAAAAGAAAAAAGAAGAAAACUAAAUAUUCACAUAAUCAGGAUGUGAAAACGGAUUUCAAUAUGAUUUAAUAUUCUUUUUUUACAUAUAUUAUGUCCAGAAAUGUAAACUUCAAGUUUGAUAUUGAGAUAUUGAUAAGAGAAAAAAGGGAACAAAAUUGAAGUGAUGAAGUUGAAAUGGAACAUGAGGAAUAGGGAUUUAAAUGAAAUUUUUUACCCGUUUAUAAUAUUUUUAUUAUGUAGUUAUAUAUAUUUUAUUACUUUUAAUAGUUGGUUAAAUAUUUACGAUACGAAAAACGAUACGAUACACAUACAAAAACGAUACGCCGAUAUUUUCCGAUUCAAUAACCAUGUUUAACACUUUUAAAUAAACAUUGACAUCUUUUUUUUUUUCGUGUUCUGAAGAUCGUUGACCCUCUGUUAGCUUCUUAUGGAGUUCUGAAUCCAUUGAAUUCUGCAAUUCAACUUGCGAUUGUAGUUGUGCAAACUGAGAUUGGUAAGAUCGUUGGCAAGAAUAUAUAUGUGGAAUAUAGCACACUCCACGAGAAGACAAUGGUGAGUAUUUGAUGCUUGGUGUUACUAGUUAGCUAGCUGAUUUUAUCUAUUUUUUAAACUUUAAUAUACAUGAGUUUAUUUGCAUGCAUGAUAUUUCCGUUUCAUUUGUUGCAGAUUUCAAUCAAUAAAGUUAUUAAAGAUUGGGGCUUAGAGUGCAUUCGUUGUGAAAUAAGUGAGUUUAUUUUUAUGAAAAGAAAUAUUCCUUUGUUUGAUUGGUUAAUCUAUCUAUCGUUGAGGGUUUAUGUUUGUUGUCUUAUAUGCAUCUUUGUUUUACUUCUUCUCCAAAUUCAGUGUCGAUGGAGAAGGUGACAAUGGAGACAGAGGCUGGUAAAGUCUUAUCUGAUGGUAAUGGGUUCGUUUCCUGCUACUUAUGUUGUUAGUUUGCAUUUUUCGUUCAUUGUAAUGGAAGCUCGCAUGCAGGAUAUAAAAUUCUUUUUCAAGCCUAACGUGUGUCAACUUUGAAUUUGGAUAACGCGAUUUAUAUGAAAACUUGUAGAAUGACAACUCUGUUCGGAAUUUAUUCUUUUAAACAUGUGGAAUUACAUUAUAAUAGAAGAUUUCGUUGUUGUCGUAAGAUCCAUACAAGUCUAUGUGGGUAUAGAGGGGAGGUUCUUCACCUCUUUAUCUAUUUAUAUACUUACGUACUUGUACGAUGUCUUGUAUUUGCAGGUUGCUGGUUUAAAAACUGUCGAGGACCGUGUUGACUUUUUCAAGAAAAUUGAGCUUCUUAAGGGCAUCUCCAAAGUGGAGAGUUAAAACCACGGAUGCUAUAUCUAUUCUGGCUCUUCAAUAGUGUUAUAGCAACUCAAUUUUUACUAUCUUCUCCAACCAUAUCAUUUAUAUUUUAGCAUUUUAUUAUAUUUUAUUAAUUUUCAACUAUUCUAUUAUAAUAGUUGUGUGUAAUUAAUUUUUUUUCCCCUUAUAUAUGUACAAUAGAAAAUAAACAAUUAAACAAAAAUUAAAUAAAUAAUUAAUAUAUAUAUAUAUUCUACAAAUAGUUUUAAUCGAAUUUACAUACAUCAAACAUACUUAAUAUAAGAAAAUUCAAGUUUAAAUAACCAUAAAAAAAGAAAAAAAUGACGUAAAUUAAAAAUACAAAAUACACUUAAUUUAUUUUGGUUUUCACUAUCACUUUAGGUCCGUAAUUUAUUUAUUUGACUUUAAUUAUUACCAUUGUUUGUGGGAUGGUGGGGUUAUGUAAUAUUUUAAUGUUUUUGUCAUAUACGGUAUACCAUACGUGAAUAGUAGCAGGUAUAUAUACCAGCUCCAUCUUAGGUUUUAGCUGGUGAGCAAUAUUAUAGCUCUCCCGCUGGAGCAUGAAUUUUAGUUCAUAAACGGUAAAAUUGUAAAAUUAUAGCAUUUAGCACUCCAAACACCACAUGAUUGGAGAUGCUCUAAUAUGUGCUUUGCUUUUUAAUCUGAAAACGCUUCAAUUUUAGUAUUUUACAAUCGAUAAGUAUCCUAGAAAUAGGAUAAACUUUGAUUUGUUGAAAAAGCAAUUAAAUUAGCCACCAAAAUAGUACAAACAUUAGGUGAUUGUCAGCUAUAUACAAUUCGAAUAAUUUUUAUACUUAAAAGGGUUAAAUACAAAAACACCCCUGUACUAUGAACUUUGUAUCAUAUAUCCCUGUAUUACAUAUAAAUACAAAAACUUCCCUGUUGUUAUAUUUUUUUCCAAAAUCUGACAAAAAUACCCCUGCUAAAAUUAUAAAUGUAUGGGUUUGUUUGAGUCAUUUUCCACUAUAUUUUUUAACAUUUUCGGUCAAUUUUACUUGGGAAAUUUUGAUAUUUUGAUAUUUUUCUUCAAAACCUUUAAUUACAUAGAUUUUUUUUUUAAUUUCCUGAAUAAAACCUUUUACUUUUAUGAUUUUGAAUUUAUUCAUUUUUUUCUUAAAUGUCUUCCGGUACGUUUUGUGUAAACUUGUACGAAACAUACAACAUAAACAGUUUACUGUAUGUUUUGUACUAGUUUAUACGGCAUAUGAGUCAACAUUUCAUAGUGUUUUGUACAAAAUUAUUGGUAAACAUGUAUAUGAUGUUAAUUUCAUACAGAACACCAUGAAAUCCAUUGAAGAAUUUCGUGAUAUUGUACACGAAAAGACUAAAAUCGAAAAAAAUAUAAGACAAAAACGUAAAUUUUUACCUCAUUAACGGGAUCGAUGUUGGUCAUCUUGAUAAUUGUUGGGUUCUAACUGAUUGUAACGAAAACAAAUCACGAUCUACAAAAGUCGGUAUAUUUAGAGGUUGAAAGGAUUUCGAAAAAGGUUAAAUGAUUUCUAGACAAAUGAAUUAUUUCGCGAACACCUUUUGAUUGACGGAAUCAAUUAUUAAGCUUAGGUUUCCACUGUCCAAACCUAGAUCGAGAGACUCGUUUUUGAGCUUGCUUGCGCUGCAUUCUUCUGAGUCUCAAACUGCCUCCGAAUUUGUCUUCUCUAGUCAACUCGUCACCUACCACAUUGCAUGAGGUCCCUUCAUCGGCCUGCGAAUCAAUAUGUAACGAUCGAACAUCUCUUCAUCGCAAACUUUUCAUUAGCAACCUUAGCCUAUUCGGGAUUUUUCCUUAGCGGUUUGUUGUCCCAAUUUCAUCCCUCCACUUUUUAUCCUUUGAUAUUUGGCCCAAUGGAUUCAUUCAUUCAUCUUUAGCAUAUUGGCCCGACCUUGCCAAAUUAGGCCCUCAUCAACACUAAUAUCACCAUACACUAGUCGUAUUCAAUCAACGGCGAUUUCGGGCUCCACUAGCUUAGCUGAAGAAUUCUCAAGGAAUUAAAAAAAUAAAAUUUGCUAUUAAUUAAAAACGUGACAAGUCACGCUUUUCAACGUAAAAUUGUUUGGAAUUGUUUUGAGAGUUAUUUUUGUAGAAUUAUGAAGAAUCACAGAGAAUUCAUUUUGAGUUUUUAGAGAAAAAGAGCAGUUGUAUUUCAUUGAAGAAGAAUUUGUUACAUGGAAAAAAACUCAAUGAGCUGAAUUUAAUAUUUAUACAUGUGGACAAAUAAAUGAAAAAUUGCUAUAGCUUAUACAGUUAUACACAUGGUUGUCAAAUCGUAAAUCGAAUCGAAAAUCGUUUUGUCAAAUUUGCGAAUCGUAAAUCGUAAGAUUUAUUAAAUUUCAUUAAAAUAUUAAUAUAUUAAAUAAUGUACACAUAUUUAUGAGACAUUGUAUAAUAUUAACAACAAUAUAUAUAUAUAUAUAUAUAUAUAUAUAUAUAUAUAUAUAUAUAUAUAUAUAUAUAUAUUGUUGCAUAGAAAUCUACAAUUAAACUACAAGGUUAUAUGAUUAAUAUGCUAAUAUUUAAAAUUUUAUAGUAAAUGGACUAUACAAAAAUUUAACACAAUAAAAACAAAAAGUUUAAUAUCAAAAGAAUUUCAUUUAAUUUGUAGUAUUUGUCAAUGCAUGGCAAUUGACGUGUGUCCGAGUAAAUCAAAUAUAACAUUGAAAAAAAAUAAGAAUAAAACUCUCUUGAAUAUACCUGCUACUUUAUAAUGUUAUUAGAGUUGCAAAGUACAAUAAAAAUAUUAUUAAUUUAAAAAAAAUACAAUUGCAGAUGAACAAUAUCAAAAGAAGAAAAAAUAGUCAUUAUAAGAUGUAAAGUGUUGGUAUUACGAGGAAUUAUCAUAUAUUAUAUUAUUUGUACUUCAAAUCUAAUAUUUUAGCACAAUUUUUAAUUUUAUUCUGAAAAUAUAUUUUUUUGCUGAAAAUUGUCCAAAUCGUAAAAAUCGUAAAAAUCGUACAAAUCGAAUCGUAAAUCGUACAAAUCGAAUGCAAAUCGUACGAUUUUUUAAGAUUUACGAUUUAUUCAACGAUUUGAAUCGUGAAGGAUUCAAAUCGAAUCGAAUCGUACGAUUCAAAUCGUAAAUCGUACGAUUUUGAUAACAAUGGUUAUACAUACUAGCAACAUAAAAAGGAUAAUUAUAGGAACUUAGACGCAAUAUCUAAUAUUUUUCAAUUUUUUUUGGCGAUAUAUGUUUUGAGAGUGAAACUAAUAUUUAUUUAUUAUCUGAGGGAAACAAAAUACGCUGUGACAAUCAAAUUAUAUUUAAAUGUAUGUUGGAAAACGUAUUUUAUAAGAAGAGUAUGAACAAAAAAUAAUGUUUUUUUGUUUUUUGUCAAUAUGUUUUUUAGGGUUACAGUCAAAUCUUUCUAUUGUAACAGUUAAAUUAUGUGUAGAGGACAGAUAAACUUUUCAAAUUGUAAUGAUAAUUAUUUUUGAAACGCUAAACAAGAGUGGAGAAAAAAAAUGGAAUGGAAACGGAAAACAAAUGUAAUUGAUAUUAAUUAAUAAUAUUAAUAAGGGUACAUUACAAUCCCCUGAGGUAUAGUUAAGUUACGAAAACCUCUUUCUGUUUGGGUAAUUACAAUCACCCAUCAACUAUAAAUUUUCUUACAGGUCCAGUCUCGAUUUCAAAUUUAGUGGAAUUUUCAAGAUUAUAUUGAAUAUUAUUACUUUUGUACCCGUUUUAUCCCAUUCGAACUCUAUAUUUUGAAGUAAGAUGAUCAUAAUAUGUGUUUUUUGACUUGUAUAUAUUAGAUUGUGGUGCAUCGGAAACUAUAUUCAACACAAAAUGAGUACAAACUAGAGCAUAUUUCACGAAAUCUAGAUGAUUAUUGUUGAAUUUGACACCAUAAAGAGCAAGAAAAAAACAUAGUUGAGGGGUAGAUAUAAUUAUACAAACAAAUGAUUUUUUUCAUAAAUUGUUGUAAUUUACCCUAUGCUUGUGGCUAUAUGCAAUACUAAUUCCACUUGUGCAAGACCAAAUUAAAGAAAGAUUCCAAAAGAUUCAAUUUUAUUAAGAUGAAAUGACAAAUAUACCCAUAAAUUAAAUUGGCUUUUGUUGCUCAUGCAAGACCAAAUAACAAAUAAUGGGGAAAAAAACAAAACCGAUACUAAUAGAAGAAAACAAAGAAAACGUGAAAUUAAAAAAACCCAGCCCCACUCCACUGUGAAACUCUACCCUACACCCAAGCUCCCCCGCCAAAGCUCCGCCGCCAACCGCCGCACUUGAUGCGACGUUCUUGAUGUCGUGUACAAAUUUUUGAAACCUUCGGUGAAUUUGGACAAUAAACUUCGUCUUAGCAUUCGCCUUUUGCUAUAAAAAAAUAAAAUGAAUAUUGAAAUAAAACGUAAUUAGAAAAUAGAAAGUUAAAAGAAUAUGAAACAACUAAAUUUCGACAUUAAUGUGUUGAAUAUAUGUCCAUAAAUCGACACCUUAAUGUCGAAAUUUAAUAUAUUUGGACUAAUUCGCUAAUAGCUAAAUUUCGACACUAAGGUGUCGAUAUUGUACUCCAAAAUUGACAUCUCAAUGUCGAUUUUUACUUAUAAAAUUCGACCUGUACAUGUCGACCGUGUCUGUGCGAGAUUGUUCUUUGAAAAAAAUGAUAUUCUAGCUAAAAAACACAUAAAUGCAUAUUUUCUUGGGUUCUUCCACCGUAGAAUCUUCUAUUUUGGUGUCUUCUUACUACAUACUUGUCAUCUUUGUAAGAUUUGUUGAGUUUUAAUGAAUAUGAAUGUUUAGGUUGUGGGUUUAUGAAGCAUGAAGAAGAAAGGUUUUGGGGGUUUUGGAAGAUGGAGAAGAUGAGAGUUGGUCUUGUGGUUUUGUGAUAGAAUUUUUUUGUAUUUUUGAGUUUUUAGUAUUGCACAUUUGGAAUGUUCUAUUUUUUUAACAAGUAAGGAUAUUAUAGUAUAUAUACAUUGAAAAUUUUAAUUUAAUCUUGCACAACUGGAAUUAGUUUUGCAUAUAGCCGCAUGCUUACUCUAUUAAUCAUUAAAGAUCAACAGAUGUGGCUUUUAAUUUCAAAGUUGGGCCUGAGCCCAUAAAUGAAAGAAGGCUAGAUUAAUCAGCCAAUUAAAUAAAAAAUGUCUGGGGCCCAUCUCUUCGAACAUGCAUUUUUCUUUAUUUAAUUUAACACAUAUAAAGUUCAGCUCGAAAUAAAAAAGUCAGUAGUAAUAAUUAAUAAAUGUGUUUGUAAAUUGUAAAUAACGAAUAAUUCUUUAAUGUAAAAAUUUAAAAUUCUACUACAUUGAUCACUUACACUAAUAUUUAUAUAAAUCAAAACAGACACGCAAACGAGAUCGCGGAUAUUCAACACUAUAUAUAUAUAUAUAUAUAUAUAUAUAUAUAUAUAUAUAUAUAUAUAUAUUGCAAUUUAUUGAUUACUAACCAUGGCUUCUCCAAAAAAUAACAUAUAUUUAAUUUAAUUAAAUAAAAUAUAUUACACUUCAAACAAUUAAUGUGAGAAUAACAACUAACAAAAAAAAAGAAGCAGAGUUGAUGAUACAAAUGUUCAGUUUUCACCUGCGUCUACUCCGGAGAUCUCAUCACAGUCACACGAUUUAUACAUUCCGCAAGACGAUAUUUAAAUAAAUAAUACACGACGAGGCAGUAAGUAGUAGUACAAUAUUAAUUUCAUCUCAAGAAAAAAAUAAUAAUAAUAAAUUACUUUAAAAAUAAAAUUUAUAUAUGUAGUAAUAAUAAUAUUAAUGAAUGUAAUGAUCAAGAAGAAGAGGAUGUUGGUGCUGCAAGUUUGGCUCUCAAAUCUUUCCUCAAAAUUUUACCAGCUGGUGAUUUCGGAAUUGCAUGAACAAAGUACACUUUGUGCAAUCUCUUGUAGAACACCACUUGUUUCGACACAAAUUCUUUUACCGUUUCUUCCGUUAGUUCGAACCCAUUCGACGGGACCACAAACGCCACUGGUACUUCACCCGCGGCCUCAUCUUUUUGCCUGUUUCAUUUAAAAACAUUCAAAUUUAAUUUCAUCUAUCGAUAAAAUCGACUUUUUUUUAAAGAAAAAAAGAAUAUUUUAAUGAACUUACGGGACAACUGCGGCAUCAGCAAUAUUCGGGUGGCUUAUGAGAAGAGCCUCCAGCUCAGCUGGUGGCACCUGCUCGAAGAAAAUAAAAGUUAGUAAAAAUUUGAUUAAUUAAUCUGAAUUCUUAACAAAAAUAGAAAUAAAAAAAUCCCUCCAAAUUAAAUUGGGUAAAUUAAUUAAUUAAUUAAUUACCUGAAAGCCUUUGAAUUUGAUGAGUUCUUUAACUCUAUCUACAAUGAAAACAUCAUCAUCAUCAUCUACGAAGCCAAUGUCGCCGGUGUGUAGCCAUCCAUCCACGUCGAUGGUUCUAGCGGUGGCCUCAUCGUCGUUCAAAUACCCUGAAACACAAUAUUAUUUAUAUUAAUUACAAAUUAUAUAUAAAUUUUCGAAUAACGUUAUAAAUUAAAAUAGACGAACAAUGUAUUAAUUAAUAAUAAUUAAAUGUAUGUAGUACAGUACCUUUCAUGAUUUGAGGUCCACGUAUGCAAAUUUCACCGGGCUGGUUGCGAGGGAGAGAGCAGCCAGUUUCCGGGUCGACCACUUUGAGCUCAGCAUUACGAACCACAUUGCCACACGAGCCUGAUUUCGUGGGUAAUGGCUGCUUCGCGAAAGAAGGGGACAUAGAUAACACGGGACCCGCCUCGGUCAUGCCAUAACCCUACAUACAACAACAAUUACAAGCACUAUUUUAAAUUAGUAACUUAGUUUAAAUGUAUGCAAUUAAUUAAUUAUCUAUUUUGGUGAGAAUAAGAGAUGAAAGUAGUGGGAUUUAAACUUAUUU
RNAcentral lists this long non-coding RNA (16823 nucleotides) under Erythranthe guttata (spotted monkey flower). RNAcentral's name for it is "long non-coding RNA (EGUT_LNC003603)". The record is from RNAcentral. Lineage: Eukaryota; Viridiplantae; Streptophyta; Magnoliopsida; Lamiales; Phrymaceae.